UACGGAGGAUGCGAGCGUUAUCCGGAUUUAUUGGGUUUAAAGGGUGCGUAGGCGGACGCUUAAGUCAGCGGUAAAAUUGCGGGGCUCAACCUCGUCGAGCCGUUGAAACUGGGUGCCUUGAGUGGGCGAGAAGUACGCGGAAUGCGUGGUGUAGCGGUGAAAUGCAUAGAUAUCACGCAGAACUCCGAUUGCGAAGGCAGCGUACCGGCGCCACACUGACGCUGAGGCACGAAAGCGUGGGGAUCGAACAGG
RNAcentral lists this ribosomal RNA (252 nucleotides) under uncultured bacterium. Its description in RNAcentral is "partial 16S ribosomal RNA". It matches the Rfam family "Bacterial small subunit ribosomal RNA", at positions 524 to 776 of the family's 1533-position model. The record is from RNAcentral.